GAGGUGUGUGUGUGUGUGUGUGUGUGUGUGUGUGUGUGUGUGUUUCUCUUUCUCCACCUGCAGAUCAGGUUAGAUCAGUUUAGAUCGUGUUAGAUCAGGUUAGAUCAGUUUAGAUCGUGUUAGAUCAGGAUAGAUCAGGUUCGGAUGCAAAUUCUCUGAUUCUAUUUGCCCAUAAUUUUUCCAUAGUUCUCUAAAAUGAAAAUCCUUUUGCAAGUGUGUGUCAGUCAGGUUCUGCAAUCAUGUCAGAGCAAACAGGCUACAGAGUGUCUGAUAAUAACAGCUAACCACUUCCUUCCUUCCUUCCCCACUUAAAAAAGAGAGUUAGAAACUGUUCAGAGCUGCAGUAGUCUAGUGCACCUGGCUUGACUCCAUGAACAUGUCGUCUGCCUCCCAAAUGGCACCCUAUUCCUUAUGGGUCCUGGUCCAAAGUAGUGCACUAUAUAGGGAAUAGGGUGCCAUUUGGGACACAGAUUUCACUCACCUCUAGUGCCCUCACCAGGACAGUCCAGCUGUCUCACUGUUAAACUGGGACAUUAGUGUUCAUUAGGGCACAGCAUAGCAAAAUAUGUGUUAAUGAAAGAUGUGUAUAAAUAUGCGUGUCUGGCCUCAGAAAAGCAUUAUUGAAAAAGAAGACUGGUUCACAGGUAUCUGUACAGGGAUGCAUUAAGAUGGUUGACUGUUCCUUUUAUAAAGUAGAUGAGAUUUGUCAUUUUUCUAGUGUGGGCAGCAGUGACUGAAUAUGCCAGUGAACAGAUGUUAUUCCAGGUAUCUUUUAAUAGUGACGUGUAUAUUAAUUCUCAGUCAUAACUGAGGCUGCGUCCGAAAUUGCACCCUAUUCCCUAUAUAGUGCACUAGUGACCAGAAGUAGUGCCCUGUAAAGGGAAUUGGGUGUCAUUUGGGACGCAGCCUCAGUUAUGACUGAGAAUUAAUAUACACGUCACUAUUAAAAGAUACCUGGAAUAUUCAUGUCAGUCUGGUUGACGAGGCUAUAUUCACCGUUCUUUCUCCACUUUAACACUAACAGUCAAAUAUUCACAAUUACCCACGUUUAGAAUCAUGAGAGGCUGCAAUGAAAGCAACAUGGAGGAUUCUGUUGCUAUUUCCUACGUAUGUUUGUGUUGAAGCUGUAUAAAAUCUCCGGCUAUUCUUUCUCUUUACUGUCUUUGUGUAAGUAUAAUGUAUACACACUCUCCUCCUUACUCUCCCAAAUAACUGCUAUAUUUUGUAAUAAAAUAAAAGCUGGCCAUCUUUA
Coregonus clupeaformis (lake whitefish) is the source of this 1252-nucleotide long non-coding RNA. RefSeq lists it as uncharacterized. Lineage: Eukaryota; Metazoa; Chordata; Actinopteri; Salmoniformes; Salmonidae. The record is from RefSeq and is a predicted model, not a curated record. The transcript has 2 exons.